UGACGAGUGGCGAACGGGUGAGUAAUGCAUCGGAACGUGCCCAGUCGUGGGGGAUAACGCAGCGAAAGCUGCGCUAAUACCGCAUACGAUCUAUGGAUGAAAGCGGGGGACCGUAAGGCCUCGCGCGAUUGGAGCGGCCGAUGUCAGAUUAGGUAGUUGGUGGGGUAAAGGCUCACCAAGCCGACGAUCUGUAGCUGGUCUGAGAGGACGACCAGCCACACUGGGACUGAGACACGGCCCAGACUCCUACGGGAGGCAGCAGUGGGGAAUUUUGGACAAUGGGGGCAACCCUGAUCCAGCAAUGCCGCGUGCAGGAAGAAGGCCUUCGGGUUGUAAGCUGCUUUUGUACGGAACGAAACGGCUCUGGUUAAUACCCGGAGCUAAUGACGGUACCGUAAGAAUAAGCACCGGCUAACUACGUGCCAGCAGCCGCGGUAAUACGUAGGGUGCGAGCGUUAAUCGGAAUUACUGGGCGUAAAGCGUGCGCAGGCGGUGCUGUAAGACAGGCGUG
RNAcentral lists this ribosomal RNA (511 nucleotides) under uncultured bacterium. RNAcentral describes it as "bacterial SSU rRNA". It matches the Rfam family "Bacterial small subunit ribosomal RNA", at positions 89 to 596 of the family's 1533-position model. The record is from RNAcentral.